This 1101-nucleotide long non-coding RNA is filed under the name Helianthus annuus (common sunflower). The record is from RNAcentral. Lineage: Eukaryota; Viridiplantae; Streptophyta; Magnoliopsida; Asterales; Asteraceae.
AUGCCUGUGCUCUCUAUGGUGAUACCACGCCUUAAAACGAAUCAACUUCACUGGACAACUACUGGUGCUUAUGAGGCAAGGCAAUCGCUUAUCAUAAGAGGUCUUUUCCGAUGCUUGCAGAUCCUCGAAACGCUGUUGAAUCUACAGGUGCUACAAAUGAGACAGUUUUAAAGGUGGCAUUUGAUCAUGGUAGAAACAUCGGUGUGAUAAAGCCGCAUGAUCGGGUUGUUGUUUGCCAGAAAGUCGGGGAUGACUCUGUGGUCAAGAUUAUUGAGCUUGAAGAAGAAAUUUAGAAAUUCAAAGAGAGCUUCUUGCUUUGAAGAAGAAAUCACUUGCUUUAAGGAGGGAAGGUAAAGUGGAAAAGAUCAUGUUCUCAACCAUUUGAGUGUCCCAGCAGCUUGCUUCACCCAUCCUGAAAUCAGUAUGGUGGGAUUGACUGAGCCUCAAGCAAAGGAGAAAGCCAAGAAAGAAAAGUUCAAAAUAAGUGUUGCAAAGACGAGUUUCAAGGCGAACACAAAAGCAUUGGCCGAGAAUGAAGGGGAGGGUCUUGCCAAGUGGUUUGAAUCGCCUCCGCUCAGUCGCUGCAACUCCUCUAAAUCGUGCUCUCUCUACUGGUCUUGAAUUAAUAGAGGAUAGCUAGCAAUCGACUUCAAAAGGAGCUGGUAGAGUGGCAGGCCAAUCCUCCUCCUGGAUAUGUAUACAAAGUCACUGGCAAACUUUAAAGGUUUCUACAACAUCUGAUGUCAGCACAAAUGAUGUGGUUUAUUCAAGGUUUCCUACACAUCAACCAGCUUAGAGGCGAGAUCUCGGUUACUUACUUUUUGGGUAUGUUAGAAGCAAGCAAUGUUUUUGUUAAGUAUUAUCAAACUUCAUGGCACACGAGGAACCAAAGUCUCUUAAUUAAGUAUCAAAUUUUCUACGGAUUGAAAUUUCUACGCGUAAGGAACCGAAACAAUACCAACCUUGCAACACCUACUCGAUGUUGACUGGCGUAACAAUGUCUUAUUUUCAAUGUGUUGUAGUAUGGGAUUAAAAUUGUCUUAAGCAGUUUGAUGUUUUUAUUCGUCUAUUUACUUAUAUUUAUUAUCGUAUUCGUUUUGA